GAGAGUUUGAUCCUGGCUCAGGAUGAACGCUAGCUACAGGCUUAACACAUGCAAGUCGAGGGGCAGCAUGGUCUUAGCUUGCUAAGGCCGAUGGCGACCGGCGCACGGGUGAGUAACACGUAUCCAACCUGCCGUCUACUCUUGGACAGCCUUCUGAAAGGAAGAUUAAUACAAGAUGGCAUCAUGAGUCCGCAUGUUCACAUGAUUAAAGGUAUUCCGGUAGACGAUGGGGAUGCGUUCCAUUAGAUAGUAGGCGGGGUAACGGCCCACCUAGUCUUCGAUGGAUAGGGGUUCUGAGAGGAAGGUCCCCCACAUUGGAACUGAGACACGGUCCAAACUCCUACGGGAGGCAGCAGUGAGGAAUAUUGGUCAAUGGGCGAGAGCCUGAACCAGCCAAGUAGCGUGAAGGAUGACUGCCCUAUGGGUUGUAAACUUCUUUUAUAAAGGAAUAAAGUCGGGUAUGGAUACCCGUUUGCAUGUACUUUAUGAAUAAGGAUCGGCUAACUCCGUGCCAGCAGCCGCGGUAAUACGGAGGAUCCGAGCGUUAUCCGGAUUUAUUGGGUUUAAAGGGAGCGUAGAUGGAUGUUUAAGUCAGUUGUGAAAGUUUGCGGCUCAACCGUAAAAUUGCAGUUGAUACUGGAUAUCUUGAGUGCAGUUGAGGCAGGCGGAAUUCGUGGUGUAGCGGUGAAAUGCUUAGAUAUCACGAAGAACUCCGAUUGCGAAGGCAGCCUGCUAAGCUGCAACUGACAUUGAGGCUCGAAAGUGUGGGUAUCAAACAGGAUUAGAUACCCUGGUAGUCCACACGGUAAACGAUGAAUACUCGCUGUUUGCGAUAUACUGCAAGCGGCCAAGCGAAAGCGUUAAGUAUUCCACCUGGGGAGUACGCCGGCAACGGUGAAACUCAAAGGAAUUGACGGGGGCCCGCACAAGCGGAGGAACAUGUGGUUUAAUUCGAUGAUACGCGAGGAACCUUACCCGGGCUUAAAUUGCAGAUGAAUUACGGUGAAAGCCGUAAGCCGCAAGGCAUCUGUGAAGGUGCUGCAUGGUUGUCGUCAGCUCGUGCCGUGAGGUGUCGGCUUAAGUGCCAUAACGAGCGCAACCCUUGUUGUCAGUUACUAACAGGUUCCGCUGAGGACUCUGACAAGACUGCCAUCGUAAGAUGUGAGGAAGGUGGGGAUGACGUCAAAUCGGCACGGCCCUUACGUCCGGGGCUACACACGUGUUACAAUGGGGGGUACAGAGGGCCGCUACCACGCGAGUGGAUGCCAAUCCCCAAAACCUCUCUCAGUUCGGACUGGAGUCUGUAACCCGACUCCACGAAGCUGGAUUCGCUAGUAAUCGCGCAUCAGCCACGGCGCGGUGAAUACGUUCCCGGGCCUUGUACACACCGCCCGUCAAGCCAUGGGAGCCGGGGGUACCUGAAGUGCGUAACCGCGAGGAGCGCCCUAGGGUAAAACUGGUGACUGGGGCUAAGUCGUAACAAGGUAGCCG
RNAcentral lists this ribosomal RNA (1491 nucleotides) under uncultured bacterium. Its description in RNAcentral is "bacterial SSU rRNA". It matches the Rfam family "Bacterial small subunit ribosomal RNA". The record is from RNAcentral.